GUGGUUUGCUGCAGCACAUAUACUAAAAUUGGAACGAUACAGAGAAGAUUAGUAUGGCCCCUGCACAAACAUCAUUUUUUAUCCAAGAACUUCUCUAU
Small nuclear RNA from Rattus norvegicus (Norway rat), 98 nucleotides. The record is from Ensembl. Lineage: Eukaryota; Metazoa; Chordata; Mammalia; Rodentia; Muridae.